RNAcentral lists this transfer RNA (71 nucleotides) under Stegodyphus mimosarum. It matches the Rfam family "tRNA". Rfam says of the family: Transfer RNA (tRNA) molecules are approximately 80 nucleotides in length. Their secondary structure includes four short double-helical elements and three loops (D, anti-codon, and T loops). Further hydrogen bonds mediate the characteristic L-shaped molecular structure. tRNAs have two regions of fundamental functional importance: the anti-codon, which is responsible for specific mRNA codon recognition, and the 3' end, to which the tRNAs corresponding amino acid is attached (by aminoacyl-tRNA synthetases). tRNAs cope with the degeneracy of the genetic code in two manners: having more than one tRNA (with a specific anti-codon) for a particular amino acid; and 'wobble' base-pairing, i.e. permitting non-standard base-pairing at the 3rd anti-codon position. The record is from Rfam by way of RNAcentral. Lineage: Eukaryota; Metazoa; Arthropoda; Arachnida; Araneae; Eresidae.
GCCUUUGUGGUGUAACGGUAGCACACUCGGCGCGUAUUCUAGAGGUCCUGGUUCGAAUCCCGGCGAGGGCA